Molecule: ribosomal RNA, 530 nt
Filed under: Trigonopterus tialeorum
Lineage: Eukaryota; Metazoa; Arthropoda; Insecta; Coleoptera; Curculionidae
Description: partial 16S ribosomal RNA
Source: RNAcentral
ACCGACCUGGCUCACACCGGUUUAAACUCAGAUCAUGUAAAAUUUUAAAGGUCGAACAGACCUAAUCUAUUAGCUUYUUCACCAAUAAUAAAAUUUUAAUCCAACAUCGAGGUCGCAAUYUUUUUUUUCGAUAAGAACUYUAAAAAAAAUAACGCUGUUAUCCCUAAGGUAGUUUAUUCUUUUAAUCUAAACUUUAGGAUCAUUUUUUCAUAAAUAAAUGAUUUUUUUAAAAAAAAGUUCUUCUAAUUUUUUUAUCACCCCAACAAAAUACUUUAUAUGAUUAAAAAAUACUUUACACCAAAAUUUUUAAACCAUAUUAAAUAUUAAACUCUAUAGGGUCUUCUCGUCUUCAAUAUACACUUAAGCUUUUUUACUUAAAAAUAAAAUUCUAAUAAAUUUUUACAGAGACAGUCUUUUUCUCAUCAAACCUUUCAUACAAGCUUUCAAUUAAAAAACUAAUGAUUAUGCUACCUUCGCACGGUCAAUAUACCGCGGCCAUUAAAAUUUUCAUUGGGCAGGUCAGACCUAAA